UCCCAAACCCAUGUGAACUUACCACUGUUGCCUCGGCGGAGCCUACCCUGUAGCUACCCUGUAGCGUGAUUACCCUGUAGGGUGGUUACCCUGUAGCGUGGUUACCCUGUAGCGCCCCGCCGGCGGAUUUUCAAACUCUUGUUAUUUUUUAAGUCAUCUGAGAGUCUUAUUUUAAAUAAGUCAAAACUUUCAACAACGGAUCUCUUGGUUCUGGCAUCGAUGAAGAACGCAGCGAAAUGCGAUAAGUAAUGUGAAUUGCAGAAUUCAGUGAAUCAUCGAAUCUUUGAACGCACAUUGCGCCCAUUAGUAUUCUAGUGGGCAUGCCUGUUCGAGCGUCAUUUCAACCCUUAAGCCUAGCUUAGUGUUGGGAAUCUAUGUGUGGCCCAAGCUACCCUGUAGCGUGGUUACCCUGUAGUUCCUGAAAAACAACGGCGGAUUUAUAGUGUCCUCUGAGCGUAGUAAUUUUUUAUCUCGCUUCUGUUUAGGCGCUGUAGACCCGGCCGCUAAACCCCCAAUUUUUCGUGGUUGACCUCGGAUCAGGUAGGAAUACCCGCUGAACUUAAGCAUAUCAAUAAGCGGAGGAAAAGAAACCAACAGGGAUUCCCCUAGUAACGGCGAGUGAAGCGGGAACAGCUCAAAUUUGAAAUCUGGCCUUCGGGUCCGAAUUGUAAUUUGCAGAGGAUGCUUUUGGUUAGGUACUUUCCGAGUUCCCUGGAACGGGACGCCUUAGAGGGUGAGAGCCCCGUACGGUUGGAUACCGAGCCUCUGUAAAGCUCCUUCGACGAGUCGAGUAGUUUGGGAAUGCUGCUCUAAAUGGGAGG
RNAcentral lists this ribosomal RNA (821 nucleotides) under fungal endophyte. RNAcentral's name for it is "eukaryotic LSU rRNA". The stretch from base 527 to 821 matches the Rfam family "Eukaryotic large subunit ribosomal RNA", at positions 1 to 299 of the family's 3401-position model. The record is from RNAcentral. Lineage: Eukaryota; Fungi.